This 253-nucleotide ribosomal RNA is filed under the name uncultured bacterium. RNAcentral describes it as "partial 16S ribosomal RNA". It matches the Rfam family "Bacterial small subunit ribosomal RNA", at positions 524 to 776 of the family's 1533-position model. The record is from RNAcentral.
UACGUAGGGGGCAAGCGUUGUCCGGAAUCAUUGGGCGUAAAGAGCGUGUAGGCGGCUCGGUAAGUCCGCUGUGAAAGUCCAGGGCUCAACCCUGGAAUGCCGGUGGAAACUGUCGAGCUAGAGUCCGGAAGAGGCGAGUGGAAUUCCUGGUGUAGCGGUGAAAUGCGCAGAUAUCAGGAGGAACACCAAUGGCGAAGGCAGCGCGCUGGGACGGUACUGACGCUGGGACGCGAAAGCGUGGGGAGCAAACAGG